Nematolebias whitei (Rio pearlfish) is the source of this 189-nucleotide small nucleolar RNA. RefSeq annotates it as small nucleolar RNA U3. The record is from RefSeq and is a predicted model, not a curated record. Lineage: Eukaryota; Metazoa; Chordata; Actinopteri; Cyprinodontiformes; Rivulidae. The transcript has a single exon.
GAGCAUGAACUUUGUUACUGUAUAGUUUCUAACUUGAGAAAUGUGUUUCUAAAGUGAUUGGUCUCGCUAACCACGAUGAAGAGUCGUCGUGAUAUUCUUCUCUGAGCGUGAAGCAGAUAGAGAUUAAUGAUUAACUUCAUAUGAUCUCUAUCAUGUUUUUGGUAAGUGAGGUGACCGGAGCAGAGUGCU